GCCUCUCCUUCUUAUUUUUCUCUUAAAUUUUUUUAUAGAAAAUCCUUGAUCUAUAAAGAUUUAAUGGUCCGAUCUUCAAUCUGUUUUCGGUAACGUGAUCUACGAAGUUCGAUCUACGUUUCUACCAAUCGUUUUGAGGUCAUGGGUGACUUGGAACUUGCUUGAGGCUACCCAAACCAUGGGUUUUGGUUUGGUGAAUUUUGUGAUACAUUGCAAGGUGGAGUCUAGGAGACCUAAGCUUGAUAUCCGCGCAACCAGGUGAGUAUUCUACUCACUGAGGGAUCUUAAGAAUUUAGAUAUAUGAAUUGCUAUGUUUAGUUUAAUUUGAUGUUAACCCUAUGAUGAUGAUUUGGUAUAUGUGAUUAUGAAUUAUAUUGUGAAAAAUAAAAUAUGUUGAUGAAUUGAUAUUGAAGAUAUGCAUGAAAAUAUAUGAGGAUGAGUUUGUGAGAUAUUUGGAUUGAGAAUUGUAAUGAUAAAUGGACGUUGAUGAAAUUGGUUGUAUUUAUGAUUAUGGAAUAGUGGCUAAAAAUAUAUAUGUGAUUGAGUUGUGAGAAUUGCGAUGAUAAGUUUAUAUUGAUAUGCUUGAAAUGGCUUGGGGUUAAAUAACAUGAAGUUGGAAUGAUGAUUUGUGUAGUAUGAGAUUAUGUGUUAAAUAUGAGUUUGUUGUGGAAUGUGGUAUGUUUUGAAAGAAAGAUGUUUGGGAAUACACAUGUGAUGAUAUGUAUAUGGUAUGGAUGCUUUGGUAUUAUGAGAACUCGGUAGUUGAUAGAUGAUAAGUCUAGUGUUGUAGUAUCUGGCACAGUGGUAGGCCAUAGGGUAGUAGCUCUUGGCUGAGAUGUGUAGUAAGCCUAGCAUUGAAGUGCUAGCACUCGUGAGAUGUGUGCCCUGCGGGUCGAAGCUUUACAGGCAGUGUUGACAGUAAGCCUAGCAUUGAAGUGCUAGAACUAGUGAGAUAUGUGGUAAGCCUAGCAUUGAAGUGCUAGUUCACGUGAGAUGUGUGCCCUGCGGGUCGAAGCGUUACUGGCAGUGUUGACUGAUGAGUGCCAAAAAGUGUAUAUUUGGACCCCUUAAUUUACAUUAGUUAAACCUUUAGCUUUGUUACUUUCUGAUGUUUUGGUUAGUUUUAGUGUUUUUGCAUUUUGCAGGGCAAUAAGAGAAAAAUGACAAUUUUCAAAGCAAAAAUACAUUGAAAAGCUGGAUUUUCGAAAGUGCUGAAAAAGUAGAUCGAUCGAAUAUUAAGUAGAUUGAUCGAAAAGUAGAUCGAUCGAAUAUUAAGUAGAUCGAUGAAAAGUAGAUCGAUCGAUCGAAUUUUGCGGGACAGAAACCCUAGCUAACUCUAUAAAUACGUCUUUUUCUCAUUUUCUCAACACGAGGAGCCGCGGCAGAGACC
Molecule: long non-coding RNA, 1390 nt
Organism: Alnus glutinosa
Lineage: Eukaryota; Viridiplantae; Streptophyta; Magnoliopsida; Fagales; Betulaceae
Exons: 3
Source: RefSeq, a predicted model, not a curated record